CAGCAGCCGCGGUAAUACGUAGGUGGCAAGCGUUAUCCGGAUUUAUUGGGCGUAAAGCGAGCGCAGGCGGUCUUUUAAGUCUAAUGUGAAAGCCUUCGGCUCAACCGAAGAAGUGCAUUGGAAACUGGGAGACUUGAGUGCAGAAGAGGACAGUGGAACUCCAUGUGUAGCGGUGAAAUGCGUAGAUAUAUGGAAGAACACCAGUGGCGAAGGCGGCUGUCUGGUCUGCAACUGACGCUGAGGCUCGAAAGCAUGGGUAGCGAACAGGAUUAGAUACCCUGGUAGUCCAUGCCGUAAACGAUGAUUACUAAGUGUUGGAGGGUUUCCGCCCUUCAGUGCUGCAGCUAACGCAUUAAGUAAUCCGCCUGGGGAGUACGACCGCAAGGUUGAAACUCAAAAGAAUUGACGGGGGCCCGCACAAGCGGUGGAGCAUGUGGUUUAAUUCGAAGCUACGCGAAGAACCUUACCAGGUCUUGACAUCUUCUGACAGUCUAAGAGAUUAGAGGUUCCCUUCGGGGACAGAAUGACAGGUGGUGCAUGGUUGUCGUCAGCUCGUGUCGUGAGAUGUUGGGUUAAGUCCCGCAACGAGCGGCACCCUUAUUACUAGUUGCCAGCAUUAAGUUGGGCACUCUAGUGAGACUGCCGGUGACAAACCGGAGGAAGGUGGGGACGACGUCAAAUCAUCAUGCCCCUUAUGACCUGGGGCUACACACGUGCUACAAUGGAUGGUACAACGAGUCGCGAAACCGCGAGGUUAAGCUAAUCUCUUAAAACCAUUCUCAGUUCGGACUGUAGGCUGCAACUCGCCUACACGAAGUCGGAAUCGCUAGUAAUCGCGGAUCAGCAUGCCGCGGUGAAUACGUUCCCGGGCCUUGUACACACCGCCCGUCACACCAUGAGAGUUUGUAACACCCAAAGCCGGUGGGGUAACCUUUUAGGAGCUAGCCGUCUAAGGUGGGACAGAUGAUUAGGGUGAAGUCGUAACAAGGU
Molecule: ribosomal RNA, 990 nt
Filed under: Pediococcus pentosaceus
Lineage: Bacteria; Bacillati; Bacillota; Bacilli; Lactobacillales; Lactobacillaceae
Description: bacterial SSU rRNA
Rfam family: Bacterial small subunit ribosomal RNA
Source: RNAcentral